Molecule: long non-coding RNA, 2323 nt
Filed under: Homo sapiens (human)
Lineage: Eukaryota; Metazoa; Chordata; Mammalia; Primates; Hominidae
Description: HSALNT0299744
Source: RNAcentral
CAACGCCUCCAGGCAAACCCACGUGAACCUCGUCCAGCCACAGGCCGCGCGCAGCAACGCCUCCAGGCAAACCCACGUGAACCUCGUCUAGCCACAGGCCGCGCGCAGCAACGCCUCCAGGCAAACCCACGUGAACCUCGUCUAGCCACAGGCCGUGUGCAGCAAUGCCUCCAGGCAAACCCACGUGAACCUCGUCUAGCCACAGGCCGCGCGCAGCAACGCCUCCAGGCAAACCCACGUGAACCUCGUCUAGCCACAGGCUGCGUGCAGCAACGCCUCCAGGCAAACCCACGGGAACCUCGUCUAGCCACAGGCUGUGCGCAGCAGUGCCUCCAGGCAAAAGUUUUUAAUUUUCUUUGGUUUGGGAAUUUUAUUUUAUAUUGGACUGAGUAACUCCGUUUCAAGGGCUAUGUCUCCAACAUGUUACAGUUCAUGGAAAGGACACAUCUGGAGUGUAAUUUACAAUGUAUCUGGGCACAUAUGGUUUAAAAGUUAUUUCUGAAUGCUAUACUGUGGGCCUUUUACCUUAAAAUUAUGUAGCAUUUUCAGAUUCAAAAGCAAGUGUUUGUGAGUCAGCUCUCACAAUUUGUCUCAGUCUCAAAAGCAGAUAUUAAAGGUCCACAUGAACCCAGGGAUAUUAUGUUAACUGACUGUGUUUUCGUAGCAAGCGGCUGUAUUUUAAAGGGAACUUAGCACUUGGAGGAAAGAGAAGCCUGGAUGUUUAAGGCAUGUCCUCUGGUUUCAGAGGAUUUCAAGCCCAGUAGGAACCACUGCAGCAUCCCCAAGCCAGCCUCAUCUCAUGACCUAGUUUUUACAAAAAUGUGGCUAGAAAUAUUGAGAACUGGGAGUUUAAAAUUCAAAACUUCAGCUAACUCUAGAAAGUCUUGCCGUGGAUAUAGAGACAGCUCUUUACAGAACUGAGGCACUGACGGAGCUUCUACAAUUCCAACUUCCUUACAGGAUUUAAACAACGACAACAAAGAAAAAAGCAAAAAACAAAAAAGUGGGAAAGGCUAAAUCCUGAGUGAUGAAUACACAGACAGGAAGAAGACAGAAAACCCAGCUUUUCUCAGAGAACACAAAGAUCAGGACGUCCACAGACUGGGGACUGUGAGCUUUCCAGCUCUGCUCUGUGGGCACAUGGGUGGUGGGACAGCAUUGACUUUUGUGUGAUACUAUAAUAAGUUCUGUAAACUAUACUUUUGUUUUUUAAGUUCAGAGUACAAAUUCAGGUUUGUUACAUAGCUACACUGUGUCAUGGGGGUUUGCUGUACAGAUUAUCUCAUCACCCGGGUAUUAAGCCUAGUGCCCGUUAGUUACUUUUCCUGGUUCUCUCCCUCCUCCUAGGCCCCAGUGUCUGCUGUUCCCGUCUAUGUGUCCCUGUGUUCCACCAUUUAUCUCCUACUUGUAAGUGAGAACGUGUGGUGUUUGGUUUUCUGCUCCUGUGUUAAUUUGCUGAGGAUAGUGAUCUCCAGCUUCAUCCAUGUCUCUGCAAAGGACAUCAUCACGUCUUUUUUAUGGCUGAAUAAUACUACACUUUCAAUCCCAUAAUUUUUAGGGUUCUAUGUUGAAUGCAUGCGUAUUCACAGAUGCUACAGUGUACAUCUGUCUUUUCCUCAGGAAAAAGACCAGGAAUCUGAAAGGACAUCAAGGAGUGGCCAUGAACGCACCAUGUGCCAUGAGGUCAUGGAGACCAUAACACGGCGGGGAUGCUGGAGAAACUGCCCAUGUCUUACCCUCCCAGGGACACAGUACUCUUCCUGGAUACAUGGAAGCAUUCGUUCAUUCAUUUUACAAAAUAUAUUGCUUUUCUAUAAAGAACACAGGAUUAUAAAGAUAUAUUAACUGUAUCCCCAGCUGCCCCUAAGAAUGUUACUGAGACAGACCAAAACUAAAAUACUAACAGCAACCAACUAGACACGCAAACAACCAAAACACUCACCCUGUCCCACGCUAAGGGAAACAGCGGGAUCGUAGGGACCGGUGUCCAAACAAGACUACGUGCUUAGGGAUGGUUUAGUAAAAAGUAGAGCUUGAGAGAGAACUUAAUGGAGAUAAAGAAGCUAGCAGGGUGAAAACACGGAUUGCUGGCAUUCUAGGAAAAGGAAAUACCAUUUCUGGAGACACAAAUUUAUGUAAAUGCAUGGCAUAUUUGGAGAAUAUAAAUAAUUUCUGUGAAUAAAAUACAUCAAAUUAGAUAAAUACAGCUAAAUAGUAUAAGCUUUAUCCUAAGGGUUAUGGAGAGCCAUGAAAAGGACCUCACUGCCCCACAUAUAACGUGGAAAACUCACUCAUGUGGCAGGCAGCCUAGGGAGAAUCUGGG